Melospiza melodia melodia is the source of this 1303-nucleotide long non-coding RNA. RefSeq lists it as uncharacterized. The record is from RefSeq and is a predicted model, not a curated record. NCBI's taxonomy places the organism in Eukaryota, Metazoa, Chordata, Aves, Passeriformes, Passerellidae. The transcript is spliced from 2 exons.
CACAGCAGGGACAUCGGGGACAUUGGGGACAUCGGGGUAUUGGGGACAUCGGGGACAUUGGGGACAUCAGAGGUACAAUGUCCAACCCGACACCGUGGGGCCCAUCUGGAACCUGAGCAAGGCCUGGCACUGGCUCAGUGUCACCGUCACCUGCCGAGGGACAUCGGGGACAUCGGGGACAUCCGGGACCUGCACAGGGUCCUCAGCAAGGCCUGGCACUGGCUCAGUGUCACCGUCACCUGCUGAGGGACCCUGGGGACAUCAGGGAUCCCUGGAGAUCAAUGGGAUGUGUGGAACCUAAAGGGUUCCAUGGCUUCAAAGAGUCCUGCAGACCCCAAAGUGUCCUACAGACCCCAAAAUGUCCUAGAGACCCCAAAAUGUCCUAGAGACCCUAAAAUGUCCUAGAGACCCCCAAGAGUCCUACAGACCCCAAAAUGUCCUACAGACCCUAAAAUAUCCUAGAGACCUUAAAAUGUCCUACAGACCCCAAAGUGUCCUAGAGACCCUAAAAUGUGCUAGAGACCCCAAAGAGUCCUGCAGACCCCAAUGGGUUCCAUGGCCCAAAGUGUCCUAGAGACCCUAAAAUGUGCUAGAGACCCCAAAGAGUCCUGCAGACCCCAAUGGGUUCCAUGGCCCCAAAGUGUCCUAGAGACCCUAAAAUGUGCUAGAGACCCAAAGAGUCCUGCAGACCCCAAUGGGUUCCAUGGCCCCAAAGUGUCCUAGAGACCCUAAAAUGUGCUAGAGACCCCAAAAGAUCCUGCAGACCCCAAAGUGUCCUAUGGACCCCAAAGAGUCCUGCAGACCCCAAAAUGUCCUGCAGACCCCCAUGGGUUCCAUGGCCCCAAAAUGUCCUACAGACCCCAAAAUGUCCUGCAGACCCCAAAGUGCCCUGCAAACCCCAAAAGGUCCUACAGACCCUAAGGAUUCCAUGGCCCCAAAGUGCCCUUACAGACCCCAAUGGGUUCUAUAGACCCAAAAUGUCCUGCAGACCCCAAAUGUCCUGCAGACCCCCAGCUUCUAUUGACCCCAAAAGGUUCCACAGACCCCAAAAGGACUUUAUGACCCCAAAAGGAUUUUAUAGACCCCAAAGAAUCCACAGACCCCAAAAGGUUUUAUGGCCCCUCAAAGGAUUUUAUGGCUCCCUAAAAGAUUUUAUGGACUCCAAAAGAUUUUAUGGACUCCAGAGGAUUUUAAUGAACCCCAAAGGGUUCUGGUGACCCCAAAGAUUUCUGCGGCCCGAAGGAUCCUGCGGGCUCCUGCAGCCCCACAGCUCGAAGGUCAGCAGGGUUUUAUGGCCCCCACA